This 479-nucleotide ribosomal RNA is filed under the name uncultured bacterium. Its description in RNAcentral is "bacterial SSU rRNA". It matches the Rfam family "Bacterial small subunit ribosomal RNA", at positions 28 to 507 of the family's 1533-position model. The record is from RNAcentral.
GACGAACGCUGGCGGCGUGCCUAACACAUGCAAGUCGAGCGUGAACCCUGCGAAUGAAACUUCGGUCGAUUUUGCAGGGGGAAAGCGGCGGACGGGUGAGUAACGCGUAGGUAACCUGCCCCAUACUGAGGGAUAGCCUCGGGAAACCGGGAUUAAUACCUCAUAACACCGUAUAUUCGCAUGGAUGUGCGGUCAAAGAUUUAUCGGUAUGGGAUGGGCCUGCGUCUGAUUAGCUGGUUAGUGGGGUAACGGCCUACCAAGGCGACGAUCAGUAGCCGACCUGAGAGGGUGAUCGGCCACAUUGGAACUGAGACACGGUCCAAACUCCUACGGGAGGCAGCAGUGGGGAAUAUUGCACAAUGGGCGAAAGCCUGAUGCAGCAACGCCGCGUGAGCGAAGAAGGCCUUUGGGUCGUAAAGCUCUGUCGGGUAGGAAGAUAAUGACGGUACUACCCGAGGAAGCCCCGGCUAACCUACGUG